RNAcentral lists this ribosomal RNA (253 nucleotides) under uncultured bacterium. RNAcentral describes it as "partial 16S ribosomal RNA". It matches the Rfam family "Bacterial small subunit ribosomal RNA", at positions 524 to 776 of the family's 1533-position model. The record is from RNAcentral.
UAUAGAGGUCUCAAGCGUUGUUCGGAUUCAUUGGGCGUCAAGGGUGCGUAGGUGGCGCUGUAAGUCGGGUGUGAAAUUUCGGAGCUUAACUCCGAAACUGCAUUCGAUACUGCGGUGCUUGAGGACUGGAGAGGAGACUGGAAUUCAUGGUGUAGCAGUGAAAUGCGUAGAGAUCAUGAGGAAGACCAGUGGCGAAGGCGGGUCUCUGGACAGUUCCUGACACUGAGGCACGAAGGCCAGGGGAGCAAACGGG